CUUGCACCGAGAUUCAACAUGGAACGAGUGGCGGACGGGUGAGUAACACGUGGGUAACCUGCCCUUAAGUGGGGGAUAACAUUUGGAAACAGAUGCUAAUACCGCAUAGAUCCAAGAACCGCAUGGUUCUUGGCUGAAAGAUGGCGUAAGCUAUCGCUUUUGGAUGGACCCGCGGCGUAUUAGCUAGUUGGUGAGGUAAUGGCUCACCAAGGCGAUGAUACGUAGCCGAACUGAGAGGUUGAUCGGCCACAUUGGGACUGAGACACGGCCCAAACUCCUACGGGAGGCAGCAGUAGGGAAUCUUCCACAAUGGACGCAAGUCUGAUGGAGCAACGCCGCGUGAGUGAAGAAGGCUUUCGGGUCGUAAAACUCUGUUGUUGGAGAAGAAUGGUCGGCAGAGUAACUGUUGUCGGCGUGACGGUAUCCAACCAGAAAGCCACGGCUAACUACGUGCCAGCAGCCGCGGUAAUACGUAGGUGGCAAGCGUUAUCCGGAUUUAUUGGGCGUAAAGCGAGCGCAGGCGGUUUUUUAAGUCUGAUGUGAAAGCCCUCGGCUUAACCGAGGAAGCGCAUCGGAAACUGGGAAACUUGAGUGCAGAAGAGGACAGUGGAACUCCAUGUGUAGCGGUGAAAUGCGUAGAUAUAUGGAAGAACACCAGUGGCGAAGGCGGCUGUCUGGUCUGUAACUGACGCUGAGGCUCGAAAGCAUGGGUAGCGAACAGGAUUAGAUACCCUGGUAGUCCAUGCCGUAAACGAUGAAUGCUAGGUGUUGGAGGGUUUCCGCCCUUCAGUGCCGCAGCUAACGCAUUAAGCAUUCCGCCUGGGGAGUACGACCGCAAGGUUGAAACUCAAAGGAAUUGACGGGGGCCCGCACAAGCGGUGGAGCAUGUGGUUUAAUUCGAAGCAACGCGAAGAACCUUACCAGGUCUUGACAUCUUUUGAUCACCUGAG
Molecule: ribosomal RNA, 950 nt
Filed under: Lacticaseibacillus paracasei
Lineage: Bacteria; Bacillati; Bacillota; Bacilli; Lactobacillales; Lactobacillaceae
Description: bacterial SSU rRNA
Rfam family: Bacterial small subunit ribosomal RNA
Source: RNAcentral